RNAcentral lists this ribosomal RNA (253 nucleotides) under uncultured bacterium. RNAcentral describes it as "partial 16S ribosomal RNA". It matches the Rfam family "Bacterial small subunit ribosomal RNA", at positions 524 to 776 of the family's 1533-position model. The record is from RNAcentral.
UACGUAGGGUGCGAGCGUUAAUCGGAAUUACUGGGCGUAAAGUGUGCGCAGGCGGCCGCGCAAGUCGAGUGUGAAAGCCCCGGGCUUAACUUGGGAAUUGCGCUCGAAACUACGUGGCUGGAGUGUGGCAGAGGAAGGUGGAAUUCCAGGUGUAGCGGUGAAAUGCGUAGAGAUCUGGAGGAACACCGAUGGCGAAGGCAGCCUUCUGGGCCAACACUGACGCUCAUGCACGAAAGCGUGGGGGGCAAACAGG